Long non-coding RNA from Dermochelys coriacea (leatherback sea turtle), 367 nucleotides. RefSeq lists it as uncharacterized. Lineage: Eukaryota; Metazoa; Chordata; Testudines; Dermochelyidae. The record is from RefSeq and is a predicted model, not a curated record. The transcript has 3 exons.
AGUUCAGUUCCUUGUUAGAGCUGGAAGAGUGUGGUUGGCUGAGGGAGCUCCAGGACCUUGGAUGAGGCAGUACUGCCAAAAGUCAGGGAGAGCGAGAAGGAGCCCUGAGCUGCUUGCAGGGACUACAUCAGGACAAGGCCUUGAGACAGACUGUGUCUGACAUGGCGGGAGGGCUGAGUCAGCGAAGACCCACCACAAACAGAGAUUGCAGGCACAUGCACUUGGCCAGGGGCACCUGUGAGAGGUGAGUUGGCAGAUUAUGAGUUUGUGGUUUGACUGAACUCAUGGUGGACUUGAACUACAAUGCUGGAACUGAGCACCCUUGAUCACUGGUCUCCCUGGAUCUCUCAGAUCCAGAUUUGGUGAG